GGCAAUGUAGCAUAGUGGUAAGGAGCAGGGCUCACAACUGAAAGGUUGCUGGUUCAAUUCCCGGCUAUGACA
Molecule: non-coding RNA, 72 nt
Organism: Megalops atlanticus (tarpon)
Lineage: Eukaryota; Metazoa; Chordata; Actinopteri; Elopiformes; Megalopidae
Source: the annotation of a GenBank genome assembly